GCCUCUUUGGCGCAGUGGUAACGCGUAGCACUUGUAUCAAUCCAGACAAUGCUAAGAUCACAGGUUCGAUUCCUGUAGGAGGCA
Molecule: transfer RNA, 84 nt
Filed under: Blumeria hordei DH14
Lineage: Eukaryota; Fungi; Ascomycota; Leotiomycetes; Helotiales; Erysiphaceae
Description: tRNA-Thr for anticodon UGU
Rfam family: tRNA
About the family: Transfer RNA (tRNA) molecules are approximately 80 nucleotides in length. Their secondary structure includes four short double-helical elements and three loops (D, anti-codon, and T loops). Further hydrogen bonds mediate the characteristic L-shaped molecular structure. tRNAs have two regions of fundamental functional importance: the anti-codon, which is responsible for specific mRNA codon recognition, and the 3' end, to which the tRNAs corresponding amino acid is attached (by aminoacyl-tRNA synthetases). tRNAs cope with the degeneracy of the genetic code in two manners: having more than one tRNA (with a specific anti-codon) for a particular amino acid; and 'wobble' base-pairing, i.e. permitting non-standard base-pairing at the 3rd anti-codon position.
Source: Rfam by way of RNAcentral